Molecule: long non-coding RNA, 91 nt
Organism: Dufourea novaeangliae
Lineage: Eukaryota; Metazoa; Arthropoda; Insecta; Hymenoptera; Halictidae
Exons: 3
Source: RefSeq, a predicted model, not a curated record
UCUCUCUCUCUCUCUCUCUCUCUCUCUCUACCUCACACUCUCUCACUCGUGUGUUUGUUCCUCUCUUCGCCACGCGACUCCUAAAAAGUGU